GGGUGAAGAGGAAGCACAAGAAGAGGUGUCAGUGGGUGAAGCCCCUCUUGCAAAGAAGAUUGAGGCUUGGACAGUGUCAUAACCUGAUGAAUGUGCUGCAGGAGGAGGAUUUGUCUGCAUUUUAAAACUUUACACGAAUCCCCCCUGAACUAUGAUUGAGCACCCCCAGGAGUGACAGAGGUCACAUGCUUAUGUUUACAUUGACCUUUUUCUUUCCACCCCGGAGGUAUUACCUUCGACUACCUUUGACUUCCCUUGACGACCUUUGACUAGUAUCACAACCGGCUUUGACUAGACUUGUGACUAAACAAUCAUCGAUUUUUAAAACAGCAACCUAUUUUUAGUCGAGGCCUGGACGAAAAAAUAGCAGUAACCU
Amblyraja radiata (thorny skate) is the source of this 376-nucleotide long non-coding RNA. RefSeq lists it as uncharacterized. NCBI's taxonomy places the organism in Eukaryota, Metazoa, Chordata, Chondrichthyes, Rajiformes, Rajidae. The transcript has 3 exons. The record is from RefSeq and is a predicted model, not a curated record.